AAAGCUCAAAUUUAAAAUCUGGCGGUCUUAAGGCCGUCCGAGUUGUAAUCUAGAGAAGUGUUAUCUGUGCUGGACCAUGUACAAGUCCCUUGGAACAGGGCGUCAUAGAGGGUGAGAAUCCCGUCUAAGACAUGGACUCCCAGUACUGUGCGAUGCACUCUCGACGAGUCGAGUUGUUUGGGAAUGCAGCUCAAAAUGGGUGGUAAAUUCCAUCUAAAGCUAAAUACAGGCAAAAGACCGAUAGCGAA
Molecule: ribosomal RNA, 248 nt
Filed under: Sclerogaster minor
Lineage: Eukaryota; Fungi; Basidiomycota; Agaricomycetes
Description: partial 28S ribosomal RNA
Rfam family: Eukaryotic large subunit ribosomal RNA
Source: RNAcentral